This 7446-nucleotide long non-coding RNA is filed under the name Sus scrofa (pig). RNAcentral's name for it is "lncRNA (ENSSSCG00035015702.1)". The record is from RNAcentral. Lineage: Eukaryota; Metazoa; Chordata; Mammalia; Artiodactyla; Suidae.
UUUUUUUUUUUUUUUUUUUUUACCAGUACCACACUGCCUUGAUUACUGUAGCUUUGUAGUAUUGUUUAAAGUCUGGGAAAGUUAUGCAUCUGGAUGUGUGUUGUUGUUGUUGUUGUUGUUGUUUUUCCCUUAGAAUUGUUUGUAGACCAUUCUCAGUCUUUAUGGUUCCACGUGAAUUUUCAGAUCAUUUGUUCUAGUUCUGUGAAAGAUGUCAUGGGUAAUUGGCAAGGGAUUGCAUUAACCCUGCAGAUUGCUAUGGGUACUGUGGCCAUUUUAACAAUAUGAAUUCUUCCAAUCAAGUCACAUGGAAUAUCUUUCCAUUUCUAAGUAUCCACUUUAAUUUUCUUGAGUAACGUUUAAUAGUUCUCAGCAUAAAAGUCUUUUACCUCCUUGGUCAGGUUUAUUCCUAGUUAUUCAUUGUUGGCGGGCUUGAUUUUAAAAGGCUUUGUAGGAGUUCCCAUUGUGGCACAGUGGUUAAUGAAUCCGACUAGGAACAAUGAGGUUGCAGGUUCAUUCCCUGGGCUUGCUCAGUGUGUUAAGGAUCCAGUAUUGCCGUGAGCUGUGGUGUGUGUCACAGAUGUGGCUCAGAUCCUGCAUUGCUGUGGCUCUGGCAUAGUCCAAUGGCUACAAAUCUAAUUAGACCCUUAUCCUGGGAACCUCCAUAUGCUGUGGGAGCAGCUCAAGAAUAAGAAAAAUACAAAAAUAAAUAAAGAAGAGACAUUGUAUUUUUAUAUUCCUUUUCUAAUAUUUCAUUGUUAGUAUACCAAAAUGCAGCCAAUUUCUGAGUGAUAGUUUGUGUCCUGCAACUUGGCUGAAUCCGUCAUUCAGUUCAAGGAGCUUUUGUGUGGAGCCAUUAGGGUUUUUCCUCUGUGGUAUCAUGUCAUCUGCAUAUAGUCAGAGUUUUACCUCUCGUAUUCCCUUUCACUUUGGUUUGUUUGCUUGCCGUGGCUCUGAGUUCUAAUACUAGGUUGAAUAAAAGGGGUGAGAGUGGGCAUCCUUGUCUGGUUCCAUAUUUUAGUGGAAGGCUUUCAGCUUUUCCCCAUUGAGGAUUUUAUUGGAUAUAAAGAUAAUAUACCUUUGUUAUGUUAAGACAUAUUCCCUCUUUACUCAAAUUGGUCAGAGUUUUUUUUUUUAAUCAUUAGUGGAAGAUGGAUUUUUUUCAAAUGCUUUUCCUUUAGCUGUCGAACUUCUCUUCUGGUUUUUAACUCUCCUUUUUUUUUAAUGUGGUGUAUGACAUUGAAUGUUUUGUACAUGCUUACUCAUCCUUGUGAAUUUGGGAUGAAUCCCACAUGGUCAUGGUGUAUGAUCUUUUUUAUAUGUAGUUGGAUUCAGUAGACUAAAUUUUUGUUGAGAAUGUUUGCAUCUAGACAGAUCAAAGAUAUUGGCCUAUAAUUUUCUUUUUUGGUAAUGUCAUUGUCUUAUUUUAGUAUGAGGGUGAAGGUGGCUUCAUCGAAUGUCCUUGGGAGAGUUCCUUGUUCUUGUACCUUUGGGAGAAGAUUAAGAAGGAUGUGUCUAAAUUCCUUCAUGUAUGUUUGGUACAAUUUGCUCCUGAAGCCAUCAUGUCCUGAACUUCUGCUUGUAGUGAAUGUUAUUCUUACAUAUUUGAUUUCAUUUUUGAUGAUAAUUCUGUUCAACAUAUCUAUUUCUCCUUGAUAGGGAGAAUUCAUGUGUCUCAAAUGUUGUCCAUUUCUUCUGGGUUGUCACAUUUGUUGGCAUUUUAAUUGUUCAUCGUAUUCGCUUUUGGUUUUUUGUGUUUCUGUAGUAUCUGUUGGGAUGUCUUCUUUUCCAUUUCUCACUGGGUUGAUAUGAGUUUCUUUCCUCUUGGUGAGUCUGUCCAGAGUUUUGUCAUUUUUGUUUUACCCUUUCAAAGAACCGCUGUUGGUUCUCUUAAUUUUUGCUGUUGUUUUUUGAAUCUCUAUUGUCUUGAUUUCCUCUCUGAUGUUUAUGAUUUCCUUCCUUUUGAGGACUUUCUUUUUUGUUUGUUCUUCUUUUUCUAAUGCUUUUAGGAGGUAGAAGAUGAUUUUCUUCUUCUUUGAGGAAGGACUGUAUUGUUAUGAACUUCCCUCUGAGAACAGCUUUUGCAGCAUCCCAUAGAUGUUGACUGAUUGUGUUUUCUCUGUCAUUUGUCUCAAGGUAUGUUUAAAAUUCCCUUUUGAUUUCCUCAUUGACCCAUUGUGUGUGUUUAGUAGCAUGUUGUUUAGUCUCCAUGUAGUCUUAUUUUAUUGUCCUGUGGUUGAUUUCUAGUUUCAUGCCAUUGUGGUCAGAGACGAUGCUUGAAAAAAUUUCUUUACUCUGAAGUUUGUUGACUUCAGUUAUAUGCCCCCAUAUGCGGUGAGUCCAUGAGACUAUUCCACAUGCACUUGAAAAGAAUGUAUAUUCUGAUAGUUUUGGAUGUAAUGUAUACAUUUGGGUAUAAAGUCCUGAAAAUAUCAUUAAGCGUAAUGUUUCUAUUGUGUCAUUGAAGAUCUUGUUUGGCUUACUGAUAUUCAGUCCCAAGGACCUGUGCAUUGAUGUGAGUGGGGUGUUGAAAUCUCCUCUAACCUUACUGUAUCCCCCUCAAUUUGUCUUUUUAUGUCUGUUAGUAUUAAUUAUGUAUUUGAGUGCUCUUAUUUUAGAGGCAUAUAUAUUGAUGAUUGUAAUAUCCUCUUACAUUUUCCUUUUAUCAUUAGUGUCCUACUUUGCUUUUCUUUAUGGCCUUUGUUUUAAAGCCUACUUUGUCUGAGGUGAAUGUUACAAAGACUUGCUUCCUUGUCUUUUCCAUUCACAUGAUAUAUCAUUUUCCAUUCCCUCAGUUUCAGUUUAUAUGGGUCUUUGCCCUCAGUUGUGUCUCUUGGAGGCAGCAUAUUGUAGGCUUUUUGUUUUUUAAUCCAGUCUGCCACUGUCUUUUGAUUGGAGCAUUCAGUCCAUUGACAUUUAAGGUGAUUAUUGAAAAAUAUGUGUUUAUUGUGUUUUAAAACUCAUUAUGUCUCAGUUGAGUUUGUGUUUCACUUUGUUUCAUUCCUUUCUUAUCUUUUUCAUUCUUUCUUUCUUGGAUGAUUUCCUUUUACUUUAGGAUUGUUUUCUCUUCUUUUUGGUUUUGGUGAAUGUAGUGUUUGGUUUGGAUAAGUGGUUGCCAUGUUUUUCAAGUAUGUUAACCCCUCCCUAUAUCUGCUCAUCAGUCCUCAACUGACAUUAUAAGAAAUAUUCAAAGGUCUUCUUGCAGUGAAAAAGAAAAGACUACAAGAAAUAAUGGGAGUUCCCAUUGCAGCUCAUUGGUAACAUACCCGACUCAUAUCCAUGAGGACUUGGGCUUGUUCCUUGGCCUCACUCAGUGGAUUAAGGACCUUGUGUUGCCCUGAGCUAUGGUGCAGGCUGGCAGCUACAGCUCCACUGGCCCCUAACAUGGGAACUGCCAUAGGCCACAGGUGUAGCUCCCAAAAAAGACAAAAGAUAGAUAAGAAUGGAUAGCAAGGGGAAAAUCCGACUUUAAAGGCAAAAAAUGGAAGUUCCCAUUGUGGCUUAGCAGGUUAAGAACCCAGCUCAUAUCCAGGAGGCUGCAUGGUUAAUUCCUAGCCUCACUGGUUAAGGAUCUGGUAUAGGGACAAGCUGCAGCACGGGUCACAGAUGUGGCUCAGAUCUUGCAUUUCUGUGUCUGAAGUGUGGUCCAGAAGCUGCAGCUGUGAUUCCACCCCCAGCUCUGGUGUCAAAUCAUAUGCUGUGUUCACAGCCCUAAAAAGAAAAAAAAAAGAAAGAAGGAAACAUACAAAAGGCUGUGAAUGAAACCACUUAAAUAAGCGACUAUGAAUGUUUGAAAAGAAUUAUAAAAUCAACUCCACCUAUGACAAAUAGUUAGGGGACAGAUAAGAAGAUGGAAAAGAGGACAUCAAAAACAGAAAAUAUGGGGGAGGGCAUAAAACAGUAGAUCUUUUAGAACUUAUUUGAACUUCAAUGAGUAUCAGUUUAAAACAACUAGACAUUGAUAUAGAUCAACAUAUAUGAAACCCAAGGUAACCAUAAAUCAAAAUCCUCUAAUAGAUAUGUGAAAACAAGGGAAAGGAACAUCAGCUUAACACAUGAGCUAUGGGUUUUCAGCUCAGAGAUGGAGACCGGAGGCCUGGUGUGUCUCCAGACAGGCAGGUGGAUGCACAGGUCACCCAGGCAGCUUGGGCUGGUCCGAACCUGGCUGGGGGCGAGCUUCAGGCCCCCUGGGUUCUCGGGGCUGUUUGCAGGCUGGGUAGGGUGGGCCCCCCUAGCACACAAAGCAUGAGCAUUAAUCCAUGACAGAUCCUCUUCUGCUGUGGAUCCUGGAUUGCUAGUCUCAUCAUUGUCAGUUAAUAUUCUGCUGGACUCUCUGCAUAUCAGUGAACGAAGGAGGUGGUCUCCACUUUCCUCAUGAGCUGAUAUCCUGAGCAGGCUAUGGUUUCUUUGGGACACUGUUUUCCCCAAAAUCAUUGAAAAUUCUUCCCAGUGUUCUAAAUUGGGAGAGUGUGGAAACUGGAGUUUGAUGGUUGGUGGUUGGUUAGUUGUCUGGCUUGCUCCUUUGCCUGCUAAGUGUUUGCACAUUGGAGCAUUUAAUAAGUUUUUGUGUAGAUGGUACUUUGUGAAAAGUCUGUUGCUUUUGGAACUUGCUGGAUAUUUUAAAGCACUGAUUCUAUUUAUUUAUGUCUGAAUGUAUGUAUGUAGGUAUGUAUGUAUGAAAUCAGUGGGUUUUCAUAUAUGUUUGGUGGAAUUUGUGUUAGCUUUCCUAAGGUUUUCCAAUGGGGUGCAUUGCGGUCUUGGUUGGGAUGUUGCUAGUGGUUGUGUCAGGUCAUUGGAAAGACGAAAGGUGAGAGAUGAUCGCACUUGAAACAAUGGGGCAUCCAAUAUCUAAGCUGUGUACAGAGGAAAGAGAGGCCCAUCAAGGGGAUGCAGAGGGAUCCAUCAGUCACAUUCCAGGAAGAAUUCAUUAGAGUCUGAGGUCUAUGGAAGGAAAACGGUGAGUGGGACAUCCUGGGGGAGAGCAAGUAUGAAAAAAAGGAACCCAUGCUCCUUGGAUCAGCAGUUCUGUUAGAUGUGAAAAAUGUGUUGUGCCUUCUGUAAGCAACUCCUUUUUUUCUGAAUGAUGGGAGCAGUAUCUUUGUAGGUAGCUGUCUCAAGGGUUUAGUCCCAUCUUGAGCAGUAUCAUGAAUGUAUGAUUUUAUUUCUUGGUUUUGUUAUUUGUGGUAGACAGUGGUCAGCUUCCUGAGGGACAGAAACAUGGUUUCAUUCAUCUUUGACUUGUGGACUGUGUUUGGCACAAGCUAUCUAUAAAACAACACUUAUGGUGAAUGACCGACUGACUGAUGGUUGCCGAUUUAGGCCCCAAGGUCACAAACAAAACAGAAAAACAACUUUUGCUGUAGGGCUAGAACCAUUGAUCAAGUGCAUUAGCUCCUUGGUUGGCUUUGACCAUGGAGUAGAGUGACCCAUGUAGACUCCAUUUGUUUGAUGGGUAUGUGGAGCACUUGAUGGUACUGUAAGGUGACUGACUGCACUGUCGUUGGUGAUUCAGCCUUCCCCUUCCUAGGCUUUCCUUAAAUGAAACCUGGUAGAUGAUCAGAGGGCAAGAGUCCGAAUAUGUGUUGCAGAUGUUGAGGUUAGUUGAGCACCAAUGCUAGGGACCAUUUCCAGGAAUAAGCUAUCCAAGUGGUUUUGGGGCUGAGGUUCAGGAGACAGGCCCAAGGCAGCAGGAGUCCUGAGCCCUGGUUCCACCCCCUGUGAGCUUUCCUUUUGUGCUGUUAGACCAGCCCCUUUGCUUCCUGGCUGUGCUGCUUGCAGGCGCAUGUCUCCUGCUGAGUGAACCCAGAAGUGCAGCAGGUCACAGGGCUCACUUGUUGUCUGCCCGCCCAGGAGCUGGAGCUAGAGGUGUGAGCCAGAGAGGGUUCGAGCCACACUCUCCCAUCUGGCGUUGGACCCUGGGCAGGGCCCUGGCUGGGGGUCCAGGAUGCUGACCAUCCCUCACCUAUCUUCCCCAGGCCCCAGUUGGCAGCAAGGCAUUGUCAACCUGUGCGGGUCACCAAGGUAUGCAGGCCCCUCCCUAGGUUGCUUUGUGUGGCAAGCCUCUCCUCCUGUAGGUGUUGCCCUGUUGGGCUUGGGCCCACUCCCUCCUCUCCUUCUGUCUCCUCUGCCUUCCUGUUGCCUCCUCUAGCCCUGGGUCCCUCCUCUGGCUGGCAGGGAUCUCUCUUGGACCCCCCAGGGUGGCAGUUGGGCAGCUGGCAGUGCUGUCACGUCCCCAGUGGGCCUGAAUUUUGGCCUCCUAUCCUCAGGAGCCCCACUGGGUGCCUCCUGCCUGGUCCCAGGUCAGGUGAGGUCCCUUUGUGGAGGUUAGUCAGCCUCUUGGCCUUUCUUGUGCCCUUAUCGGUUUGCUCCCUUUUCCCCAUGGGGGAAGAUAUUUUUGGCCAUUAUGGUUUCCUGGAGUCCCCGGGCUCAGAGGAGACACCCUCGCUGCUGACCUCGGAUGAGGUGAUGCCUUCUCGGCAGUAGACCCCACUGCAGGGUGGCCCAGGGCACCCCAGCAGCCUGGGCUGGACUGAACCUGGCCAGAGGCAACCUUCAGGUCCUCUGGGAUCACGGGGCUGUCUGGCAGAUGGGCAGGCUGGGCCCCAUGAGUGCCCAAAGCCUCCUUUUCAGAUGUGCCUGAGCAGAAAUCCUCCACAGAUCCUCUUCUUCCCUGGAUGCUGGUGUCCUGGUCUCAUCAUUGCCAGUUCAUAGUCUGCUUGUCUCUCUGCACGUCAGUUCAUGAAGUAGGUUGUCUCCACUUUCCUCAGGAGCCCAUAUCCCGGUCAGGCUGUCAUUUCUCUGGGAAGCGGGUGUCCCCAAAGAGAGUCAAUGAGAAGCAUUCCCAGCAUGGGCUCGAAUUUGGGAAGGUCUGGACCUCUGAGGUUGGUGCUUGGUGCCUAGUGCCUGGUGCUUGGUUGUUUGGCUCACUUCCUCGCUGGCUAUGUGAUUGGACGUUGAUCAUUUAGGAAGUUCAUUCCUAGAUGGCACAUUUGGAAAAGUCUGUGGCUUUUGGCACUUGCUUGCUAUUUUCCAACAUUGCAUCUAUUUAUGUGUUUCUGUGUGUCUGUCUAUAUUUAUGUAGGUAUGGAAUCAGUGCAUUUUCAUAUGUUUUUGAUGAUAUUUGGGUUAUAUUUCCUAAGGUUUUCCAGUGGGGUGCAUUUUGGUCUAGGUUGGGAUGGGGCAGUGCUUGUGUCAGGUCAUCUGAAAGAGGGAGAGAGGGUAGGGAAUGGCAUUUUAAGAAACAGUGGGGUGGCCAACAUCUUAGCUGUGUGCAGAGAAAGAGAGGUUCAUAAAGGUGAUUGGGAGGCAUCACUCGGUCACCUUUCAGCAGUAAUUCAAGAAAGCCUGAGGUCCAUAAAAUGAAAAUGGUCAGUGAGAGGUUCUGGGGGAGAGAGAGUGUGAAAAAAAUGAAUCCACGCUCUUUGGGAUCAGCAGGCCCGAUACAGGAGA